AACGAACGCUGGCGGCGUGGAUAAGACAUGCAAGUCGGACGCUGGAUUGUGUGUAGCAAUACUCGCAGUCUGGAGUGGCGUAAGGGUGCGUAACACGUGGGUAAUUUGCCUGGAAGCCCGGGAUAACUCCGAGAAAUCGGAGCUAAUACCGGAUGUGAUCAGGGGCUGGCAUCAGCUCCUGCUCAAAGUCGGGGACCGAAAGGCCUGACACUACCAGAUAAGCCCGCGGCCUAUCAGCUAGUUGGCGGGGUAACGGCCCACCAAGGCUAAGACGGGUAGCUGGUCUGAGAGGACGACCAGCCACACUGGAACUGAGACACGGUCCAGACACCUACGGGUGGCAGCAGUCGAGAAUUUUUCACAAUGGGGGAAACCCUGAUGGAGCGACGCCGCGUGGGGGAUGAAUGGCUUCGGCCCGUAAACCCCUGUCAUUUGCGAACAAACCUGGUGGUUGAACAAACUGCCAGCUGAUAGUAGCAGAAGAGGAAGGGACGGCUAACUCUGUG
Molecule: ribosomal RNA, 506 nt
Filed under: uncultured organism
Description: bacterial SSU rRNA
Rfam family: Bacterial small subunit ribosomal RNA
Source: RNAcentral